GAGAGAAGAGUAUACAGAAGAGGCGUGAAGCCACAUCCAAUUUUUUAUAAACACUUAGGAUAUCAAUUUCUAGGAGGUGUGAAAGGAUGAUUUUUAGGUGGGGUUUCCAUUGAUUUUUUGGUGGUUGGGAAGAGUAUUAAUCGACGAUAUAUUUGAAGUUUGGGUUUGAACAGGUGAAGUCGGUGUAUGGCGGUUGUGUCAAGGAUACAACAAAGGCCAACAUCGGGUAAGAAAUUUACUCCAUUAAGCUUAUGAACUUCUUUGUGCGACAACAGAUGACGAUGACAGUGCUGGAAUCUAAGUCGUAAAUAAAAUUGAAGAUUAUUUGCAGACCUGGUGGGUAGGUGCGUCGUACAAUGAGCCCGGGAACCAUUUUCGUCAAGUGUUUCCGGUGAAACAGAAGUAAAGGGGGUAAAUCAAUCACUGAUAAGAUUUUUGCUACAACUAAUUGUAGAAUACAAUGUAGUUGUUAGGUAUAGGGGUAGUGUAAAUGAUUGCCGGAAAUAUGAGGCGGCGUCUCAAAAGUUAUAAGUGAU
This 536-nucleotide long non-coding RNA is filed under the name Brassica napus (rape). RNAcentral describes it as "long non-coding RNA (BNAP_LNC026763)". The record is from RNAcentral. Lineage: Eukaryota; Viridiplantae; Streptophyta; Magnoliopsida; Brassicales; Brassicaceae.